RNAcentral lists this transfer RNA (70 nucleotides) under Megalops atlanticus (tarpon). RNAcentral describes it as "tRNA-OTHER". The record is from RNAcentral. Lineage: Eukaryota; Metazoa; Chordata; Actinopteri; Elopiformes; Megalopidae.
GGCAGUGUAGCAUAGUGGUAAGGUGCAGGGCUUCUAACCAAGGGGUUGUUGGUUCAAUUCCUCGCUGGGG